This 491-nucleotide ribosomal RNA is filed under the name uncultured bacterium. RNAcentral describes it as "bacterial SSU rRNA". It matches the Rfam family "Bacterial small subunit ribosomal RNA", at positions 28 to 497 of the family's 1533-position model. The record is from RNAcentral.
GACGAACGCUGGCGGUGCGCCUAACACAUGCAAGUCGAGCGGAGUUGAAGUUGGAACUGAGGUUACCGUCUGAGAAGGUAGGACAAGGUGAUUUCAGAUCUGACUUUAACUUAGCGGCGGACGGGUGAGUAACACGUGAGCAACCUACCAUUAGGAGGGGAUAACAUCUGGAAACAGAUGCUAAUACCGCAUAUAGUGGCACCAUCACAUGAUGGAGUCAUGAAAGGAGAAAUCCGCCUAUUGAUGGGCUCGCGCCUGAUUAGCUAGUUGGUGAGAUAAAAGCUCACCAAGGCAACGAUCAGUAGCCGGACUGAGAGGUCGAUCGACCACAUUGGGACUGAGACACGGCCCAAACUCCUACGGGAGGCAGCAGUGGGGAUAUUGGUCAAUGGGGGAACCCUGAACCAGCGACACCGCGUGAGGGAGAAGGUUUCGGAUUGUAAACCUCUAGUUGUCGGGGAAAUAAUGACGUACCGAUGAGGAGCCACGGA